UGUUUGAUGUUCUAACGUGGACCCGUGAUCCGGGUUGCGGACAGUGUCUGGUGGGUAGUUUGACUGGGGCGGUCUCCUCCUAAAGAGUAACGGAGGAGCACGAAGGUUGGCUAAUCCUGGUCGGACAUCAGGAGGUUAGUGCAAUGGCAUAAGCCAGCUUGACUGCGAGCGUGACGGCGCGAGCAGGUGCGAAAGCAGGUCAUAGUGAUCCGGUGGUUCUGAAUGGAAGGGCCAUCGCUCAACGGAUAAAAGGUACUCCGGGGAUAACAGGCUGAUACCGCCCAAGAGUUCAUAUCGACGGCGGUGUUUGGCACCUCGAUGUCGGCUCAUCACAUCCUGGGGCUGAAGUAGGUCCCAAGGGUAUGGCUGUUCGCCAUUUAAAGUGGUACGCGAGCUGGGUUUAGAACGUCGUGAGACAGUUCGGUCCCUAUCUGCCGUGGG
RNAcentral lists this ribosomal RNA (441 nucleotides) under Escherichia coli. Its description in RNAcentral is "partial 23S ribosomal RNA". It matches the Rfam family "Bacterial large subunit ribosomal RNA", at positions 2211 to 2651 of the family's 2925-position model. The record is from RNAcentral. RNAcentral also lists the same sequence under 1 other name. Lineage: Bacteria; Pseudomonadati; Pseudomonadota; Gammaproteobacteria; Enterobacterales; Enterobacteriaceae.